Long non-coding RNA from Sarcophilus harrisii (Tasmanian devil), 917 nucleotides. RefSeq lists it as uncharacterized. Lineage: Eukaryota; Metazoa; Chordata; Mammalia; Dasyuromorphia; Dasyuridae. The record is from RefSeq and is a predicted model, not a curated record. The transcript has 4 exons.
UAUGUCAUGUAGUUCUGUGACACUUCCCAGGGGAACCCAGAACCUCUGAGUCAAUGGAUGGAUUACAAGGAAAAAUGGUUUCAUCUGUGACAGAUGACAAACUUUUGUCUGCAUGUCUAUGACAGGCAGAUUAUGACUUGUAGGUAGCAGGGACCACCUCCCCAAUACAAGCUGGCUUCCAGAGUAGAGAAGUGUAGAAAUGUGAUAUCCUGCACUCUGGAUCCCUAAAACUCCUACUGGAAAAUUGUACAAUCUAACAGCUAAUGGAUCCAUCACCUAGUGGCCAGUCUACAGGGGAUGAGCCUUUAACUUAUUUAGGCAUAACUCUGGAGAAACUAAAAUCAACCUCAUGCCAUGAUAAAGCACUGAAGUAGAACUUUUAUGAAGGAUCCCAUAGAAAUGACAUUAUUAAUGUGUAUCAUGCCAGGAAUUCCAAUAAAAAGGAAUAAAUGGGCUCCCAAGCCAAUGGGGAAACAAGUAUCCAGAUAAGUAUAUACAGAAUAAAUACAAAUAAAUGCAAAGUGGCAAAAUAUAAGUAGUUAAUGAAGGAGAGCACUAGCACUUGUGGAGAUCAUUAAAGUAUCAUAUAGAAGGUGGUACUGGAAAAAGAGAGGAAUUCUAUGACUGGAGAUGAAGAAGGGCAGCCAGUAUAAGUCAUGGAGAUGGGAGAUGGAGUAUUUGUUAUUUAUAAGAAACGGAGAGAAGUUUGGUGUGGAAACAUGUUGGAUGGAAUUCUCCAAAAUGUCACAUUUUGAUACCACAUCAAUCAAUCACUCAACAGGAAUCUAAUAAAUAUCGAUUGUGCCUCUUCUGUAUGUUAAAGAGAUAAAGACCAAAAACCCAACUCAAAUACCCAGUUCUUGCUCCCAAAUGAAGCACUUUAUUCCAGAGGAAACCACAUACUAAGCACAUAAAGA